AGCAGCCGCCACGGUAACACGUAGGUGGCAAGCGUUGUCCGGAAUUAUUGGGCGUAAAGGGCUCGCAGGCGGUUUCUUAAGUCUGAUGUGAAAGCCCCCGGCUCAACCGGGGAGGGUCAUUGGAAACUGGGAAACUCGAGUGCAGAAGAGGAGAGUGGAAUUCCACGUGUAGCGGUGAAAUGCGUAGAGAUGUGGAGGAACACCAGUAGCGAAGGCGACUCUCUGGUCUGUAACUGACGCUGAGGAGCGAAAGCGUGGGGAGCGAACAGGAUUAGAUACCCGUGUAGUCCCUGUCUCUUAUAC
This 303-nucleotide ribosomal RNA is filed under the name uncultured bacterium. RNAcentral's name for it is "partial 16S ribosomal RNA". It matches the Rfam family "Bacterial small subunit ribosomal RNA", at positions 507 to 807 of the family's 1533-position model. The record is from RNAcentral.